CCAGAGAUGGAUUGGUGCCUUCGGGAACUGUGAGACAGGUGCUGCAUGGCUGUCGUCAGCUCGUGUUGUGAAAUGUUGGGUUAAGUCCCGCAACGAGCGCAACCCUUAUCCUUUGUUGCCAGCGGUCCGGCCGGGAACUCAAAGGAGACUGCCAGUGAUAAACUGGAGGAAGGUGGGGAUGACGUCAAGUCAUCAUGGCCCUUACGACCAGGGCUACACACGUGCUACAAUGGCGCAUACAAAGAGAAGCGACCUCGCGAGAGCAAGCGGACCUCAUAAAGUGCGUCGUAGUCCGGAUUGGAGUCUGCAACUCGACUCCAUGAAGUCGGAAUCGCUAGUAAUCGUGGAUCAGAAUGCCACGGUGAAUACGUUCCCGGGCCUUGUACACACCGCCCGUCACACCAUGGGAGUGGGUUGCAAAAGAAGUAGGUAGCUUAACCUUCGGGAGGGCGCUUACCACUUUGUGAUUCAUGACUGGGGUGAAGUCGUAACAAGGUAACCGUAGGGGAACCUGCGGUUGGAUCAC
Molecule: ribosomal RNA, 526 nt
Filed under: Escherichia coli
Lineage: Bacteria; Pseudomonadati; Pseudomonadota; Gammaproteobacteria; Enterobacterales; Enterobacteriaceae
Also listed under: 1 other name
Description: partial 16S ribosomal RNA
Rfam family: Bacterial small subunit ribosomal RNA
Source: RNAcentral